This 1435-nucleotide ribosomal RNA is filed under the name uncultured organism. RNAcentral describes it as "partial small subunit ribosomal RNA". It matches the Rfam family "Bacterial small subunit ribosomal RNA". The record is from RNAcentral.
CGGCGUGCUUAACACAUGCAAGUCGAACGGAAAGGCCCUGCUUUUGUGGGGUGCUCGAGUGGCGAACGGGUGAGUAACACGUGAGUAACCUGCCCUUGACUUUGGGAUAACUUCAGGAAACUGGGGCUAAUACCGGAUAGGAGCUCCUGCUGCAUGGUGGGGGUUGGAAAGUUUCGGCGGUUGGGGAUGGACUCGCGGCUUAUCAGCUUGUUGGUGGGGUAGUGGCUUACCAAGGCUUUGACGGGUAGCCGGCCUGAGAGGGUGACCGGCCACAUUGGGACUGAGAUACGGCCCAGGCUCCUACGGGAGGCAGCAGUGGGGAAUAUUGCACAAUGGGCGGAAGCCUGAUGCAGCAACGCCGCGUGCGGGAUGACGGCCUUCGGGUUGUAAACCGCUUUCGCCUGUGACGAAGCGUGAGUGACGGUAAUGGGUAAAGAAGCACCGGCUAACUACGUGCCAGCAGCCGCGGUGAUACGUAGGGUGCGAGCGUUGUCCGGAUUUAUUGGGCGUAAAGGGCUCGUAGGUGGUUGAUCGCGUCGGAAGUGUAAUCUUGGGGCUUAACCCUGAGCGUGCUUUCGAUACGGGUUGACUUGAGGAAGGUAGGGGAGAAUGGAAUUCCUGGUGGAGCGGUGGAAUGCGCAGAUAUCAGGAGGAACACCAGUGGCGAAGGCGGUUCUCUGGGCCUUUCCUGACGCUGAGGAGCGAAAGCGUGGGGAGCGAACAGGCUUAGAUACCCUGGUAGUCCACGCUGUAAACGGUGGGUACUAGGUGUGGGGUCCAUUCCACGGGUUCCGUGCCGUAGCUAACGCUUUAAGUACCCCGCCUGGGGAGUACGGCCGCAAGGCUAAAACUCAAAGGAAUUGACGGGGCCCCGCACAAGCGGCGGAGCAUGCGGAUUAAUUCGAUGCAACGCGUAGAACCUUACCUGGGUUUGACAUGGAUCGGGAGUGCUCAGAGAUGGGUGUGCCUCUUUUGGGGUCGGUUCACAGGUGGUGCAUGGCUGUCGUCAGCUCGUGUCGUGAGAUGUUGGGUUAAGUCCCGCAACGAGCGCAACCCUUGUUCACUGUUGCCAGCACGUUAUGGUGGGGACUCAGUGGAGACCGCCGGGGUCAACUCGGAGGAAGGUGGGGAUGACGUCAAGUCAUCAUGCCCCUUAUGUCCAGGGCUUCACGCAUGCUACAAUGGCUGGUACAGAGAGUGGCGAGCCUGUGAGGGUGAGCGAAUCUCGGAAAGCCGGUCUCAGCUCGGAUUGGGGUCUGCAACUCGACCUCAUGAAGUCGGAGUCGCUAGUAAUCGCAGAUCAGCAACGCUGCGGUGAAUACGUUCCCGGGGCUUGUACACACCGCCCGUCAAGUCAUGAAAGUUGGUAACACCCGAAGCCGGUGGCCUAACCGUUGUGGGGGAGCCGUCGAAGGUGGGACUGGUGAUUAGGACU